GACGAACGCUGGCGGCGUGCUUAACACAUGCAAGUCGAACGGAAAGGCCCUGCUUUUGUGGGGUGCUCGAGUGGCGAACGGGUGAGUAACACGUGAGUAACCUGCCCUUGACUUUGGGAUAACUUCAGGAAACUGGGGCUAAUACCGGAUAGGAGCUCCUGCUGCAUGGUGGGGGUUGGACAGUUUCGGCGGUUGGGGAUGGACUCGCGGCUUAUCAGCUUGUUGGUGGGGUAGUGGCUUACCAAGGCUUUGACGGGUAGCCGGCCUGAGAGGGUGACCGUCCACAUUGGGACUGAGAUACGGCCCAGACUCCUACGGGAGGCAGCAGUGAGGAAUAUUGCACAAUGGGCGGAAGCCUGAUGCAGCAACGCCGCGUGCGGGAUGACGGCCGUCGGGUUGUAAACCGCUUUCGCCUGUGACGAAGCGUGAGGGACGGUAAUGGGUAAAGAAGCACCGGCUAACUACGUG
RNAcentral lists this ribosomal RNA (468 nucleotides) under uncultured bacterium. Its description in RNAcentral is "partial 16S ribosomal RNA". It matches the Rfam family "Bacterial small subunit ribosomal RNA", at positions 28 to 507 of the family's 1533-position model. The record is from RNAcentral.